UACGAGUGCCCCAAGCGUUAUCCGGAAUCAUUGGGCGUAAAGGGUGUGUAGGCGGUUGUGUUAGUCUUUUGUUAAAGCUCUCGGCUUAACCGGGAAGAUGCAUUUGAUACGGCACAACUAGAGGAUGCGAGAGGUGAACGGAACUCAUAGUGUAGGGGUGAAAUCCGUUGAUAUUAUGGGGAACACCAAAUGCGAAGGCAGUUCACUGGCGCAUUCCUGACGCUGAAACACGAAAGCGUGGGUAGCGAAUGGG
This 253-nucleotide ribosomal RNA is filed under the name uncultured bacterium. RNAcentral describes it as "partial 16S ribosomal RNA". It matches the Rfam family "Bacterial small subunit ribosomal RNA", at positions 524 to 776 of the family's 1533-position model. The record is from RNAcentral.